CUAGUUAAAACCUCCUUGUAGAUUACAGCGGCGGCUCAAGCGGCCUCCUUCUUCGCGGCUCAAACGGCCUCCAUGUUCUUGUAACCAGGUCGUGACGCUACAGCGGACGCAGAAGAUGUAGUCUCCACGGUUUCCGCAGACCAUCUUGAGUCCACCUACGGUUCCUCUAAGCCGAUGGCCUGUACGGUAAACUUUUAUCUACUGUAGCGACUUUACUUGUAACGUCUCCUAAACCUAUUGGCUGGAAGUUUUUUUCGUUUUUUAAGACUUUGUCCACAAGACCUCGGUAGUGGUUGAUACAGUCAUAGAAGAGGUUAAAGACUUACAAAACUUAGCUAACACGGCCUUAGUCAAAAUGGUAAUGUACUACAAUUCCUUGGUCUAAGGUUAUUUCUCUAGUAUCAACUUCUCUUUAUACUAAUAGAUGGUGUUCUGUUAUGUAACUGGCUAGUACUAGAUACACGAGUAUAUCGUUAUCUUAGUGGAAAGUCUUUUGUUAACAACCAAGUCUAGCUACCCUCAAGACACAAUGUUUUAGUCAACUACACAGACGAUCUACUUUUUCUCACCCAUUUACUACUACAUUCAUCAGUUUGUCCUUUUAACAAUAAUUAGUGAUUAUAGAUAAUGAUU
RNAcentral lists this ribosomal RNA (633 nucleotides) under Triticum aestivum (bread wheat). Its description in RNAcentral is "partial small subunit ribosomal RNA". The record is from RNAcentral. Lineage: Eukaryota; Viridiplantae; Streptophyta; Magnoliopsida; Poales; Poaceae.